GAUCAUGGCUCAGGAUGAACGCUAGCUACAGGCUUAACACACGCAAGUCGCGGGGCAGCAUGAAGUCAGCUUGCUGACUUUGAUGGCGACCGGCGCACGGGUGAGUAACGCGUAUCCAACCUGCCUGUUACCACGGCACAGCCCGUCGAAAGGCGGAUUAAUGCCGUAUGUGGUCUUGAAAGGGCAUCUGAUCAUGACUAAAGGUUCAGCGGUAACGGAUGGGGAUGCG
Molecule: ribosomal RNA, 229 nt
Filed under: uncultured bacterium
Lineage: Bacteria
Description: partial 16S ribosomal RNA
Rfam family: Bacterial small subunit ribosomal RNA
Source: RNAcentral